CUGAUUGGCAUAAUGUCGACGUUGACCAAGUUGAUAUGCCUCAUGUAGACAGUAAUGAAAUGUUGACAUGUUAGAAUGUCCACUUAUCGUCCCUGGUGGACCAGCAGCAACUUACCUUCUCCUAACGCUGCAGCAGCGUCUUCCGGGUCUCAGCAGUCAUGUGACCAUAACUUUCAGGUCAGACCUCUGAUCCUCCGGCGUUUGUUAGGAUUCAAGUACCAAGAAUGUCGCAGCAUAGCAACAAGAUAAGGGUGUCACAACCCUGAACAGAUAGGACAAUGCAUGCGGAAGAGGCUCGGUUUCAGGGUUCCCCACCAACAUCACUGCUUUAUAUGACCGUAACACAACAACAUGGGGUCCAUCGUCAUCAGACAACAUUUGUAUGGAGAGCACUUGGUGGUUCCACCGUGGUAUCCCAGAGAUGGUGGUUUGUCCAGAACAUUAGAGCUGUACAGAAAGAACUUGCGAUAUAUAGAACAGAUGGUGAACACGAGGUUGGGAGUUGUAGUGCAACAAACAGAUCCUGGCUGCAGAGAGAUAAAGCCAGCCACAUAGUAACAGCAUGAGAGACAACGUGUUCACAAAUCGCAAAAUAACGACAUCUUCAGGAACAAAAACACAUUAUUCAAGAAGCCUGCUUUUAUGAACAGUGUAUAUUAACAGUACAAAAAAAAAAAAAAAAUCUAAUGAAACAAAAUAAUAAUAUGUUUGAGUCCCAAACCCUUAACUGAAGUCUAUG
Long non-coding RNA from Pseudophryne corroboree (corroboree frog), 739 nucleotides. RefSeq lists it as uncharacterized. The record is from RefSeq and is a predicted model, not a curated record. The transcript has 3 exons. NCBI's taxonomy places the organism in Eukaryota, Metazoa, Chordata, Amphibia, Anura, Myobatrachidae.